This is a non-coding RNA of Salmo salar (Atlantic salmon), 54 nucleotides long. Lineage: Eukaryota; Metazoa; Chordata; Actinopteri; Salmoniformes; Salmonidae. The record is from Rfam.
AACUAGGUCAUCUGUAAGUCGCUCUGGAUAAGAGCAUCUGUUAAAUGACGUAAA